Molecule: small nucleolar RNA, 122 nt
Filed under: Choloepus hoffmanni (Hoffmann's two-fingered sloth)
Lineage: Eukaryota; Metazoa; Chordata; Mammalia; Pilosa; Megalonychidae
Description: Small nucleolar RNA SNORA70 (ENSCHOG00000016110.1)
Rfam family: Small nucleolar RNA SNORA70
About the family: snoRNA U70 seems to be exclusive to mammals and is a member of the H/ACA class of snoRNA which contain H (ANANNA) and ACA box motifs. H/ACA box snoRNAs are involved in the conversion of uridines to pseudouridines (5-ribosyluracil) a constituent of structural RNAs (transfer, ribosomal, small nuclear, and small nucleolar).
Source: RNAcentral
CUGCAGCCAUUUUAGCACACAUGGGGCCUGGUGUGCAGUGGCUGCAGACAGCAGCCUCCUUGAUGUGGUGUACCCAGCCUGUUGCUUUGUAUGGGUUGCCCUAAGAGACUUUGGUGACGGCC